AAUUCUCCUUUCUUAUUACAUACAGGCAAUACUUAUGCAAGUACAGCUUUUUAUAAUGACUUUGACUUCUACGUAAGUAGUGGUCUUAUUGUAAAAAACUAAGUUUUUUACAGUUUUUUUAUUUUUAUUUUUUAAUGCACUUGAUGGAUACCUAUAAUCUAAAGAAGUAGGCGUAAAUUAUGCGAAAAUUCAUUGUUAGAAUAUUAAAUUCUUUAACCAAUGAGUUCCUUUUGAAAAAAUUCAAUGUUAAAACAGCGUUAGGGAAUUGAAACAUCUUAGUACCUAGUUUAAAGAAAAUCAACCGAGAUUUCGUUAGUAAUGGUGAGUGAACGCGAAAAAAUUAUUAAAACUAUAUAAAUAAACUAAAAUUAUAUUGGAAUUUUAUACUAAAAAAGGUGAUAGUCCUGUAGGUUUAUUUAUUUAAUAAGGGGGUUAAGUAGAAUGCUUGGUUAGAGUAUUUGAAGACAGGGAGACCACUCUCUAAUCCUUAUAAUAAUCUUUAGAAAUUGAUAGUGAAUAAGUACCGUGAGGGAAAGGUGAAAUAGAAUCUAUAAAGAAUGUGAAAGAUUUUGAAAUUGAGUGCAUACAGAACAUUUAGAGCUUUAUAAACAAAUUGUUUAUGAAAGUGAUAAUUUACCUUUUGCAUAAUGGGUCAGCAAGUUAAUUUAAGUAGCAAACUUAAUUUGUAAAUAAAAGUAGGUGUAGAGAAAUCGAGUAUUAAUAGUACGUUUUAAGUUACUUAAAUUAGACCCGAAACCAAAUGAUCUAACCAUGAGUAAGUUGUUUUAUUAUCUUUAAUAAUUAGACUGAACCCAAGUAUGUUGCAAAAUGCUGGGAUAACUUGUGGUUAGGGGUGAAAGGCUAAUCAAAUUUGGAAAUAUCUGGUUUUCUGCGAAAUCUAUUGAGGUAGAGCGUUAUAAGUUUUUAAUAUAGGGGUAGAGCACUAUUCGAUUGAUGGUGAGUUGCGUUAGCUUAUACUGAAAUUGAAAAAACUUCGAAUACUAUAUUAAGUAUUAUAGCAGUCAGAUCAGUGGCGUUAAGGUUAUUGAUCAAGAGGGAAACAGCCCAGAUUACUCGUUAAGGUCUUUAAAUUAUUUUUAAGUAUGGAAGAUAGUUAGUAAAUAGUGAUAAUCAAAAGGUAGGCUUGGAAUCAGCCAUUCUUUUAAGAAAUCGUAAUAGAUCAUUGCUUUAGUUUUAUUUAUUAGCGUUAAAGAUGUCAUGGAGUUUAAAAUAAUAUACCGAAACGGUAAGUAUUAAGCUUAAAAGUUUAAUACGGUAGCAGAAUAUUUUGUAUAUUGUUGAAGUAGUUUUGAAAGAAAUUAUGGAGAUAACAAGAGAAAUAAUGCUGACAUAAGUAACAAAAAACAUUGUGUAAAUCAAUGUCGUCGUAAGUCCAAGGUUUUCGUAAUAGUUUAAUACGAGUUAUUCGGUUUCUAAGAAAAAUAGGGAAAUGUAUUUUUUGAUGAAAAAAGUUUGAUGAUUAACUUAAUUUUUUAAUAAGGACAGUUUUUAAUUGGUACUAAUAUAAUUAUUGAUUUUUAUAUUUGGAUUGAUUUUAGGCUCGGGAAAAAUUAUUAAAGUUUUUUAAAACCGUACUAGAAACUAACACAAGUGGACGGGUAGAGUAUAUUAAGACGGAGUGAGUGAAUAACACUGAAGGAACUCGGCAAAUUGACUUUGUAACUUCGGGAGAAAAAGUUCUUUUCAUAGAUAAUAUAAUGAAAAGAGGAAGAAAAUAGGGAGGAACAACUGUUUAGUAAAAACACAAGAUUCUGCAAAAUUGUAAAAUGAUGUAUAGGGUCUGACACCUGCCCAGUGUUGAAAAAUAAAAGAAAAUGUUUUUAAGCAUUGAAUUGAAAUAUCAAUAAACGGCGGCCGUAUUCCUGACGGUCCUAAGGUAGCGAAAUUCCUUGUCGGAUAAGUACCGACCUGCAUGAGUGGUGUAAUGAUUCUUCCACUGUCUCCAGUGUUAACUCAGUGAAAUUGAAUUUUCUGUGAAAAUGCAGAAUAUCCACAGUUAGACGGAAAGACCCUGUGCACCUUUACUAUAUUUAUAUAUUGUUUGUAGAAAAUAUUUUGUGUAGGAUAAGUGGGAGCAUGUAUAAAGUGCGUUAGUGAAAUACCACUCUUAAUAUUUUUUCGAACUAAUUCUUAUUAGAAGAACGUGUAUAAAGGGUAGUUUGAUUGGGGAGAUAGCCUCCUAAAGAGUAACGGGGGUGUAUAAAGGUAUUACUCUAAAUAAUUUAAUAUUAUUUUAAGAAUGUAACGGUAUAAGUAUGCCUGACUGUAAGACUUACAAGUCGAGCAGAGACGAAAGUCGGUCGUAGUGUCCCGAUAAUUUUAUGUGGAAAAGUUAUCGAUCAACGGAUAAAAGGUACGCCAGGGAUAACAGGCUAAUAAUCCUUAAGAGACCAUAUCGACGGGAUUGUUUGGCACCUCGAUGUCGACUUAUCAUAUCCUGGAAUUGAAGAAGAUUCCAAGGGUUCGGCUGUUCGCCGAUUAAAAUGGUACAUGAGUUGGGUUUAGAACGUCGUGAGACAGUUUGGUCCCUAUCUACUGUGGGUGUAAGAAAAUUGAGAGGAGCUAACUUUAGUACGAGAGGACCAAGUAGGGUUGACCGCUAGUGUUAUAGUUGUUUUAUCAAAAGCAUUGCUAUGAAGCCACGUCAAUAGUUUAUAAUUUCUGAAAGCAUCUAAGAAAGAAGAAACCCUCAAAACAAAUUUUCUAAAAUCUGUAAUAGAACAUUACUUUGAUAGGUUAAUAAUGUAAGCAUUGUGAGAUGUUGAGUUUAUUAAUACUAAUAUGAUUAAACUAAUUUU
This 2819-nucleotide ribosomal RNA is filed under the name marine metagenome. RNAcentral's name for it is "bacterial LSU rRNA". It matches the Rfam family "Bacterial large subunit ribosomal RNA". The record is from RNAcentral.